This 64-nucleotide transfer RNA is filed under the name Berghia stephanieae. Its description in RNAcentral is "tRNA-Tyr". Lineage: Eukaryota; Metazoa; Mollusca; Gastropoda; Nudibranchia; Aeolidiidae. The record is from RNAcentral.
AUUUUGGUGGCUGAAUUAUAGGCGGUAGAUUGUAAAUCUAUUUAUGGUUAAUGACCUCAUUGUA